UGUCGUUAGUUGCCAGCAUGUAAAGAUGGGGACUCUAACGAUACUGCCUACGCAAGUAGUGAGGAAGGUGGGGAUGACGUCAAAUCAUCACGGCCCUUACGUCCUGGGCCACACACGUGCUACAAUGGUAUGGACAAUGAGCAGCCAUCUGGCAACAGAGCGCGAAUCUACAAACCAUAUCACAGUUCGGAUCGGAGUCUGCAACUCGACUCCAUGAAGCUGGAAUCGCUAGUAAUCGGAUAUCAGCCAUGAUCCGGUGAAUACGUUC
Molecule: ribosomal RNA, 268 nt
Filed under: unidentified cytophagales groupA
Lineage: Bacteria; Pseudomonadati; Bacteroidota
Description: partial 16S small subunit ribosomal RNA
Rfam family: Bacterial small subunit ribosomal RNA
Source: RNAcentral